UGCGUUGGCCGGACGAUCGCGAGUACACUCGUGCUAUUGGUGAGGUAUUCGAGGAAAGUCCGGGCUCCAUGGACAGACUGCCAGGUAACGCCUGGGCACGGGGCAGCUCGUGACGGAAAGUGCCACAGAAAACAAACCGCCCGCUGGCAACAGUGUGGUAAGGGUGAAAUGGUGGGGUAAGAGCCCACCGCAUCGGCGGUAACGGCGAUGGCAUGGCAAACCCCAGUUGGAGCAAGGUCAAAUAGGCGGCGAGAGACAGUCCUUCUCGGCAAAAACGCCGCGGGUUGGCUGCUUGAGGGCGCUGGUGACAGCGCUCCUAGAGGAAUGAUCGUCCAGAUCGAAAGAUCUGACAGAACCCGGCUUACAGGCCAGCGUGCAUC
This 380-nucleotide RNase P RNA is filed under the name Gemmatimonadaceae bacterium. RNAcentral describes it as "RNase P RNA component class A". It matches the Rfam family "Bacterial RNase P class A". Rfam says of the family: Ribonuclease P (RNase P) is a ubiquitous endoribonuclease, found in archaea, bacteria and eukarya as well as chloroplasts and mitochondria. The record is from RNAcentral. Lineage: Bacteria; Pseudomonadati; Gemmatimonadota; Gemmatimonadia; Gemmatimonadales; Gemmatimonadaceae.